AUAAGGAGGGGCUAGAAGGAAGCCAAUGACAAAAGAGGCUCCCAUCACCUCCUCCUCACCUUUCAAUUGCUACCCGAUCCUACUUCAAUUGAAUAAAGUUGCAGUCCUUUGGCCAUUGUAAAAAUAUACGUGUGUCUAUCCCCAAUAUUUGUCCUCAUCACACUAACAUAAGAAGCUAUAAGGUUUUGCACUGAGAGUUGGGGCCUUUGCUUGGUGGGUGGGUGUGGGUUUUUUUCCUGCAAGUUGUGUAGCACAGGUCAGGUAGCAGAGUGUCAGGGUUCGCCUGGAGACCAUAUUGACCAUGCAGGGAGAGGCAAAACGAGUUCUGCUGACUUAUUGUGACUGCUGCAGCUUUUUGCCUCACCCUGGGUAUAAAAAAGGAAGAGACGUGACCCUUUGGUCAAUGGAUUCUAAAGUAUGAGGCUGAGCAGCCCUAAGAGAAGAACUCUAGAAACAGCCAUGCUGGGAGAGAAGGCUGGGGCUACAGUUUAUGUUAUUUAUUUGGGGUUACCUUAUUAAUAAAGCCAAACCCGAGGAAGGGAUGAGAUUUGACCCUGAACAGCAUGUAUUGACUGUGUUUGGAGCAGGUUGGUACCUACCCACAGGCCUCUUGAGUCUCCUGAUCUGAUCUAUGAUGUCUGUGAAUUGCUGUCAGACUGACCUGCAGCUAGAAUAGUUCACCCUUCCUGAAGAAUAAGGAGUUUACUUUGAAAAUAUUUUCUUCCAAAUCCACAUAUGACACCUUUAUAUAAAAAAGUUCUAAAACCUUUGAAAACUGGAGUAAGCACAUAUUUGUACUCAGAGAUGAUAACAUACAGUACCUAUUACCAGAUGGUACCACUCCACCAUCAACCUCAGCCUGGACCAGUCCACACAAGAGAUCCACUUCCUGGACAUUACAGUGCAAAUAAGUGAUGUCACAUAAACAUCACCCUAUACCGGAAACCUACUGACCGCUAUACGUACCUACUUGCCUCCAGCUUCCAUCCAAGACACAUCACACGAUCCAUUGUCUACAGCCAAGCCCUAAGAUACAACCGAAUUUGCUCCAACCCCUCAGACAGAGACAAACACCUACAAGAUCUUUAUCAAGCAUUCUUAAAACUACAAUACCCACCUGGGGAAGUGAGGAAACAGAUUGACAGAGCAAGACGGGUACCCAGAAAUCACCUACUACAGGACAGGCCCAACA
Molecule: long non-coding RNA, 1192 nt
Filed under: Chrysemys picta bellii (western painted turtle)
Lineage: Eukaryota; Metazoa; Chordata; Testudines; Emydidae
Description: lncRNA (ENSCPBG00000023878.1)
Source: RNAcentral